AGCAGCCGCGGUAAUUCCAGCUCCAAUAGCGUAUAUUAAAGUUGUUGCAGUUAAAAAGCUCGUAGUUGAAUUUCGAGAUCAGUACGCUGGUCGUGCCUUCGGUAUGCACUGGUGUCACUGGUUUCUCCCUUCUGAAGAACCGUCAUGUCAUUAAGUUGAUGUGGCGGGGAAUCAGGACUGUUACUUUGAAAAAAUUAGAGUGUUUAAAGCAGGCUCGCGCUUGAAUACAUUAGCAUGGAAUAAUGAAAUAGGACGUUUGACCCUAUUUUGUUGGUUUCUAGGAUCGACGUAAUGAUUAAUAGGGAUAGUUGGGGGCAUUAGUAUUCAAUUGUCAGAGGUGAAAUUCUUGGAUUUAUUGAAGACUAACUACUGCGAAAGCAUUUGCCAAGGAUGUUUUCAUUAAUCAAGAACGAAAGUUAGGGGAUCGAAGACGAUCAGAUACCGUCGUAGUCUUAACCAUAAACUAUGCCACUAGGGAUCG
This 481-nucleotide ribosomal RNA is filed under the name uncultured Glomus. RNAcentral describes it as "SSU rRNA". It matches the Rfam family "Eukaryotic small subunit ribosomal RNA", at positions 569 to 1055 of the family's 1831-position model. The record is from RNAcentral. Lineage: Eukaryota; Fungi; Glomeromycota; Glomeromycetes; Glomerales; Glomeraceae.